UCGAUGUGAAGCUGCAUCAUCUGAGGUUACAGUUAAACCUCAGAGGAAGAGAACGUUGGAUGAUUUGACAGAUGCUCCGUGUGGAAGCAGUUCAGGCAGCUGUUGGAAGAGAAAGAAGAAAAAAUCGGGGUAGGACAGGAAGCAGCUGCGCCCAGUGUGGAGGGCUGAAAGGACCAGAACUUCAUGAAGAG
This is a long non-coding RNA of Melanotaenia boesemani (Boeseman's rainbowfish), 191 nucleotides long. RefSeq lists it as uncharacterized. The transcript has 2 exons. The record is from RefSeq and is a predicted model, not a curated record. Lineage: Eukaryota; Metazoa; Chordata; Actinopteri; Atheriniformes; Melanotaeniidae.